RNAcentral lists this ribosomal RNA (349 nucleotides) under Candidatus Williamhamiltonella defendens. RNAcentral describes it as "Candidatus Hamiltonella defensa partial 16S ribosomal RNA". It matches the Rfam family "Bacterial small subunit ribosomal RNA", at positions 27 to 366 of the family's 1533-position model. The record is from RNAcentral. Lineage: Bacteria; Pseudomonadati; Pseudomonadota; Gammaproteobacteria; Enterobacterales; Enterobacteriaceae.
GAUUGAACACUGGUGGCAGGCCUAACACAUGCAAGUCGAGCGGCAUCGAGUGAGCGCAGUUUACUGAGUUCAUGUCGGCGAGCGGCGGACGGGUGAGUAAAGUCUGGGAAUCUGGCCGAAGGAGGGGGAUAACUGCUGGNAACGGCAGCUAAUNCCGCAUGAAGUCGCGANACCAAAGUGGGGGACCUUCGGNCCNCACGCCNUCGGAUGAGCCCAGAUGAGAUUAGCUGGUAGGUAAGGUAAAGGCUUACCUAGGNGACGAUCUCUAGCGGGUNUGAGAGGAUAGCCCCCCACACUGGAACUGAGACACGGUCCAGACUCNUNCGGGAGGCAGCAGUGGGGAAUAUUG